GUGCUGCAUGACAGGAGAGAAGGUUAGCACUCCCGGACAAGGAUGGAAGAGGCCCGUGGGCCUAACAUGCCUGCAGUUAACAUAUUGCCAGCUACUUCACGGCAUCUAACCACUGCUUUCU
Small nuclear RNA from Cavia aperea (Brazilian guinea pig), 121 nucleotides. Lineage: Eukaryota; Metazoa; Chordata; Mammalia; Rodentia; Caviidae. The record is from Ensembl.